CAGUAGCCGCGGGAAUACGUAGGGUGCGAGCGUUAAUCGGAAUUACUGGGCGUAAAGCGUGCGCAGGCGGUCCGUUAAGACAGAUGUGAAAUCCCCGGGCUUAACCUGGGAACUGCAUUUGUGACUGGCGAGCUAGAGUAUGGCAGAGGGGGGUAGAAUUCCACGUGUAGCAGUGAAAUGCGUAGAGAUGUGGAGGAAUACCGAUGGCGAAGGCAGCCCCCUGGGCCAAUACUGACGCUCAUGCACGAAAGCGUUGGGAGCAAACAGGAUUAGAUACCCCGGUAGUCCCUGUCUCUUAUAC
Molecule: ribosomal RNA, 301 nt
Filed under: uncultured bacterium
Lineage: Bacteria
Description: partial 16S ribosomal RNA
Rfam family: Bacterial small subunit ribosomal RNA
Source: RNAcentral